RNAcentral lists this ribosomal RNA (403 nucleotides) under bacterium. Its description in RNAcentral is "partial 16S ribosomal RNA". It matches the Rfam family "Bacterial small subunit ribosomal RNA", at positions 355 to 776 of the family's 1533-position model. RNAcentral also lists the same sequence under 3 other names. The record is from RNAcentral.
UGGGGAAUAUUGCACAAUGGAGGGAACUCUGAUGCAGCGACGCCGCGUGAACGAAGAAGGCUUUCGAGUCGUAAAGUUCUUUUAUAUGGGAAGAUAAUGACGGUACCAUAAGAAAAAGCCCCGGCUAACUACGUGCCAGCAGCCGCGGUAAUACGUAGGGGGCUAGCGUUGUCCGGAAUCACUGGGCGUAAAGGGUUCGCAGGCGGAAAUGCAAGUCAGGUGUAAAAGGCAGUAGCUUAACUACUGUAAGCAUUUGAAACUGCAUAUCUUGAGAAGAGUAGAGGUAAGUGGAAUUUUUAGUGUAGCGGUGAAAUGCGUAGAUAUUAAAAAGAAUACCGGGGGCGAAGGCGACUUACUGGGCUCAUUCUGACGCUGAGGAACGAAAGCGUGGGUAGCAAACAGG